UCUCCCCAGCCCCUCUCUCUCCCCAGCCCCUCUCUCCCCCCAGCCCCUCUCCCCAGCUCCUCUCCCCCGCCGGGGCCCGGGGCAGCCCCGAGGCCCGCAGACACACGUGAGGCGCGGGAACGGGCCGGGCCGGGCUGAAGCGCGGCGGCGGGGGGGCCCGGCGGCAGGGGAGCCCGGCGGGAUGCGUUCCCCUCCGCGGCCUGGGUAUGCUGAGGCCGGCACAAGCCGCGGGAGGUGACAGCCCCCCCACCGCAGUGACCCCCAAGGCUGUGUCUGCCGAGCUGUGUCAGCUUCUCCCAGGAGGGAGCGACUUCAAUAGUCCCACUGGAAAAUGCACCAGCAAAUUUAUUGCUACAGGCCUUUCCCAGCCUUUCCAGCCACUUGUUUCCAGGCACCGUGUUUGUUCACGGAAGCUGGAGCCCCACUCCAUGAAAUGGAAGCAUCUCAUCGUGUAUACAGCCCUCUGGGAGCAGCUUGGCUUCUUGAAAGAGUAUCUGCAGUGUAUCUUGAAAAUCAAAAGUGGGUGUAUAUCUUGUCAUGUGCAACGAUGAAGAUGAUAAAAGCAGACCUGCAGUGACAUCAGCCAGCUCCCACAGCACUUCUGGAUGUGUCCCAUCAGGUCCCAUGGACUUUUUGAGUCUACACUAUGUCACUGAUCCAGUCAGACCAGGUGGAUACAUGAUAGCUUUGGAGAAAUUUAUAUGGGCUGCAGAAAUCAUCUGCCUGCCAACCCUGUGAGAACUACACAAGAGAACAAUUCCAGACAUUGCUCAUUUCUGCAAAUGGAAGGAGCUGAGCUUUCCUGAGAAGACAGAAAUGGAUGGGAACUCUUGCUAGGGGCACAUGGUUACUGAAGGCUGGACCUCUUCCUUCCAUUCAUGCAGAUUCCCAGAUUCUGGAGACGGCAGUGAAAAUUCUGGAAGGCCUCCCUAGUCCAGCCUUGUACUGCUAUGAUUUCAUACAAGUAACAGAGCUAAACAUGCAGAAGAAGGACACCCAUCCUCCGUGUGAGUAAAGAAAGGCCAGUCUGAAUGAGAAAAUAACAGAGAGCCACCUGAAUUGAUGAAUCCAUCUAAAAUACAUAGUUAAAUGCAAAAGCAAUGUCUGGUUCCAUUGCUUUAAAAUGGCUCUGUCAUGGGUUAACAUUUUAGGAGAGCUAUUUCUCAUUUUACCUGAUUAUAUAUAUGGUACAGUUUAGUGAGUUAUCAUAGCUAAAAUGAUGUCAAGCCUAGAGUGAAGAAGACCAAGACCAACCAUCUGGGCAUUAUUAACACUGUUAUCAGCUGCACUGGCCAGAAAAGCUCAGUUAGCUUUAGACCUGUGCUCCCUUUACUGUCCACUUACAAUGUCAUACAUCAUUUUGUUGCCUGGGUCUCUUCAGAUAGAGAACAAAUAUUCAGAGAGAGAAUACUCCUAGGUAUAGUAUAAGGGUUCUUUAAAGACCAUCAUAGAGGUGAUUUAAAAAAAUGCUGGUUUCACUGAUUGCAAUCAAAGCCAGGUAGCAAUGAAGUCACUGCAAGUUUGAUCUUUGUGUAAACUUCCUUGAAAAGGUACAUGAAGUCUGACAUAAGCAGUCAGCUUUUGCAAUCACUUCUAAAUCCCCCAAGAUCUUGAGCUAAACGUGAGAAUGAGGGAAAUCAGAAACUUGUUCAUAUCUAGUCUGUCUCUCUGCCUACACCUGUGAUUUUGUCCUUCCUACCUGUUUAGGUUAAAAAAAAACAACAAAACUUCAAAUGUCUUCAAAAAUCACUGCUGGAUUUGAAAUUCAAUGUCAGUGGGUAAUCUGUCUUCUUUGGCAUUGUUUAGCUAAGAAAAUAUUACUUUGGAAGAGAAAUACUUUCCUUGGCUCUGAUUCCAAGAUCCUUUUCCUAAGUAGUACCUGUCCUUAUAAAAGACACUGGUACUGAACAAACAAACCAUUUCAGAAGCUGCCCAUUAAUUCCAGCAGAUAUUCUUAACUCAAGGCUCUGACAAAUGGCUGUAUGAGACCAGUUACAUGCAACUUCUAUCUCCUAAUCAUUUCCAGCCUUCUAAUUCUAUAAACUUUUUUUUGUUGGAACAACGUUAGACAGGAACUCCCAGAAAUCAGCCGUUUUCCAUACUCCUCUCCAGAAGCAUUUCUCACUCUUAAUGAAUGAUCCCAAAGCAUACACACAUUCCUGUUUAUAGUGAGCAGCAACAGCUUUUCCUGCUUGGAAAAAACUGUAUCCCCAUGGAAGCUGUUCAAAAGCAGGUGUAGCUUCUUCUACCCGUAAUAACCCUCCCAAGUUGGCAGAAGAAGAGGCACUUUUCAUUACCACAGAUUUCACAUCAGAUAGGGGUGGAAAUUUGUUUUGUUUCAGGCACCCACUCAAGCAGAGUCCUGACCCAUCCAAGUACUGCAAACCCUGUUUGCACACAAUUACCAAAAGCUGCAUAAAUGUCACUUUUCUGUUAAAUGCAUUAGUUUCAAGUGGUGUUUCCGUAACAAAUGUCUUUGAGUAAACACUGCACCUUUC
This is an RNA transcript of Apus apus (common swift), 2498 nucleotides long. RefSeq lists it as uncharacterized. NCBI's taxonomy places the organism in Eukaryota, Metazoa, Chordata, Aves, Apodiformes, Apodidae. The record is from RefSeq and is a predicted model, not a curated record. The transcript is spliced from 8 exons.